CACUGACCACUAACAUAAUAUAUACAAUAUACACACUGCCAUUAGAGGGGGGGAGAAAAAAAGCAGUGAAAGAAAAAGGGGGAGCACACACGGAUUCCAUUUUUAUCUUGGAAUCAGAGGCGAUAUACGGAGAGAGAGAAAGAAGGGACCAAUUUUGUCAUCAUCUUCAUGAGGAAAAACAAAAAAUUGAUAUAGGUAGAAGCUAGAAAAACACCAUUAGGGACCGAUUGUUCUUCUCCUUUCUUAUCCAUCGGCACACACCCCUGAGACGCCAUUGUUUUUUGCUCUUUCUUUUUUUGCAACACGCGACACACAGUAACAAAAAGGGUACUAACACUCACACAGUGAGAGUAAAUCAAAAGAAUGAAGAGAGUUUGAGUGAGAUCCAAUCAUUUUCUCGAGAUAUUCUGGCGAACCUUCACCGAAAUCAGGUUAAGUUCGUUGUUUGCUCGGUCCAAAUCCAAAAACCCAAUCUUCUUGUCAUUUUCGUUGGUUUCUAGCUGAAUCUGGCAAGAAACAGUGAGGUUGUCGGGAUCUAUUUUGGGACUUUUUUUUGCUGCCCCGUUUGAGUUCACCAGAACUCAGAUUACACCGGAUUCGAUCUUCCGUCAGGUCGAUUGAGGCUUUAGUUUUGGGUUGUUAUUUUUCUAUCCAAGUUGGAUUCAUCGCUGUUGAGGUUCUAUUCGAAAUUUCAAGUCCAAGUUUUCUUAUUAUAAACAGAAAUCAAUUAUCAAAAGGUCCAUUUUCUUUAACUCGUUCUCUUUUCUUUAUCUCGAUUUGUUGAAUUGGUUACGAAUAUGUGUAGUAUGAUAAUGAUUGUUGGAUUUUGUUGAUAUCAUAAUGUUAUGGUUAUGUGCUUGACGACGUGAUUUUGGUGAUAUAUGAAACAAAUUAGGAUAAUUUUUUAUGGCAUGAUUGAUAAAAAAAAUGAAUUUUGGGGGUGAGAAUGGAGAAAUUGAUAAAAGUUUAAAUGUAGAUUAAAUUUGGUUUGUGGUCUUUUUUUGUGUUUAAUUCAGAAUAAGCAUGAAUGUGAUUGAUUUAUGAUAUGUUGAAAUGGAUAAGCAAUAUAGGUUAGGGUAGUCAAAAUUUAGGAGUGAUGUGUUGAUGGAACGCUUUGAAUGUUUAAAUGUGUGUUUUGAACAUUUUUUCUAGUUAACUUAUUUAAUUCAUAUGUAUUCGUUUGGCCGGGGAAUUCCCCGAGAUAUUUGUGUUCAUUUAUCGGGGAAUGCCCCGAGGUAUUUUUAUUCUGAGGACGUUCGCAAUGAAGGCCCGAGGCAUUGGGUAAAGCACGGGAGCAUAGUUAGGAUUAGUGUAGAUUAGAGUAGGAUUUAUUUUUUGCAUUUUUUAUUUUGGACUGUAUAAUUGGACUGAACACUAUAUUUUGGAUUUGUUUUGUUGGUGUGUUUGGUUGUUUUAUGUGUUUCAUGUGAUUUAUACAUUUGUAAUGUCAAAUUAGCCAAUACACCUCACUAAGCGACCGUGGUCGAACCACGGGAUCAAGGGGUGCAUAACACCUUCCCUUCGGUCAACAGAAUUCCUUAGUCGGAAUCUCUGUUCGCAAACCAGUUUUAAAGAGUCAAAUCAUUUUGAAUAGAAUUUUCAAAAGGUGACUUGGCACACCAGAUUAUGCCAAGUGGUGAAUAUGAGUUUAAAUGUAAGAAGUCCUUUUUCGGAACAAAUUUUCAUCUUUUAUCUUUUUGAUAAUAAAAACCCUUUCAAACCUUAAAAUCAAUGAAUUCUUUUUUCGACUUAGAAAAGGGGUGUGACAACAGCUAUACUAGAUCACAUAUCUCCAUAUGAGAAAUUAUAUGAAAAAAAACCUACUAUUAUUCAUAUGAGAUUUCUAGGUUUCCUGUACUAUGCUAAGACAGUGCAACAAUCAGAUAAACUGCAAUCCAGAAUAAGAGAAUGUAUUUUAAUUUGCUAUUCUAAAACUCAGAAGGGCUAUUUACUUUAUGAUCAUGCUAACAAAGUAUUUUUUGUCAACAGAGAUAUCAGAGAAGACAUGUUUCCUUUCAAAGAAAGACUCUUGAAACUCAAUAUCUCAUAGCUGCCAAACUCAAUGAGACCGUAGUUAAUUGGUUAGAUAUGGAUCGAUGCUCUCACAUGAUACAUCAAUUGUUCAAAGACCACCAGAGGAAUCUAAUGAUCCUAGGGUACAAGAAUAUACUACACAAGUGAAGAUUGAUUAGGAUCAAACACCAAACACAUAUCAAGUUGAGGAUUAUAUACAAGUAGCUCAAAGAAGGACCACCAGAACUAGAAAGGCUCCUUUACGGCUCAAGGACUUUGUGUCUCUCAAUAUUCAUCAGGAACAACCUUAUGCUUUGGGAAAAUACUUGACCUAUGAUACGCUGUCUCCUAAGUACCAGGC
Molecule: long non-coding RNA, 2374 nt
Filed under: Capsicum annuum
Lineage: Eukaryota; Viridiplantae; Streptophyta; Magnoliopsida; Solanales; Solanaceae
Description: long non-coding RNA (CANN_LNC018104)
Source: RNAcentral